RNAcentral lists this small nucleolar RNA (217 nucleotides) under Amborella trichopoda. Its description in RNAcentral is "snoRNA Plant_U3". It matches the Rfam family "Plant small nucleolar RNA U3". Rfam says of the family: Small nucleolar RNAs (snoRNAs) are involved in the processing and modification of rRNA in the nucleolus. There are two main classes of snoRNAs: the box C/D class, and the box H/ACA class. U3 snoRNA is a member of the box C/D class. Lineage: Eukaryota; Viridiplantae; Streptophyta; Magnoliopsida; Amborellales; Amborellaceae. The record is from Rfam by way of RNAcentral.
ACAACCUUACUUGAAUAGGAUCUGGUCUAUAGGUUGUACAUCCAUUUCCAUGGACACAAUGGAGACACAACAAAAUAAUCUAGAAGAUGACACAUUGCCACGUGGCCAGAGUGUGAGUAUACUGGACAUGGAUGCCACAGGGCAUCCACCAUCUGCAUAUUAUCGCUCUCAUCAAGCCAAUGGCUGAUGAAAUGGCCAUGUGGCAGUCCGACCGAUC